Molecule: ribosomal RNA, 427 nt
Filed under: uncultured bacterium
Lineage: Bacteria
Description: bacterial SSU rRNA
Rfam family: Bacterial small subunit ribosomal RNA
Source: RNAcentral
GGGCCCGCACAAGCAGUGGAGCAUGUGCUUUAAUUCGUAACAACGCGCAAAACCUUACCAGUCCUUGUAUGUAAAUGAUUUUUCUCAGUACCGAGAAAAAAUACUUUAUACAGGUGCUGCAUGGCUGUCGGCAGUUCGUGUCGUGAGAUGUCGGGUUAAGUCCUAGAACGAACGAAACCCUUAUUUGUGUUGCUCUUUGGAAGCAAUUUUCUUUCAAAGCACUCUCAAAAAACUGCCAGUGAUAUACUGGAGGAAGGAAGGGAUGACGUCAAGUCAGCAUGGCCCUUAUGGGCUGGGCUAGACACGUGCUACAAUGGCACUGACAAUAGGAAGCUAAGAUGAGAGUCUGCGCGAAUCCUCAAACAGUGUCUCAGUUCGGAUUGUUCUCUGCAACUCGAGAACAUGAAGUUGGAAUUGCUAGUAAUCG